UUCACAUAUGUGAAGAGUGGCGAACGGGUGAGUAAUACAUAAGUAACCUGGCCUUUACAGGGGGAUAACUAUUGGAAACGAUAGCUAAGACCGCAUAGGUGUCAUAACCGCAUGGAGAUGAUAUGAAAUAUGCUACGGCAUAGGUAGAGGAUGGACUUAUGGCGCAUUAGCUAGUUGGAGGGGUAACGGCCCACCAAGGCGACGAUGCGUAGCCGACCUGAGAGGGUGACCGGCCACACUGGGACUGAGACACGGCCCAGACUCC
Molecule: ribosomal RNA, 265 nt
Filed under: uncultured Coprobacillus sp.
Lineage: Bacteria; Bacillati; Bacillota; Erysipelotrichia; Erysipelotrichales; Coprobacillaceae
Description: partial 16S ribosomal RNA
Rfam family: Bacterial small subunit ribosomal RNA
Source: RNAcentral